Molecule: ribosomal RNA, 407 nt
Filed under: uncultured bacterium
Lineage: Bacteria
Description: partial 16S ribosomal RNA
Rfam family: Bacterial small subunit ribosomal RNA
Source: RNAcentral
GACGAACGCUGGCGGCGUGCCUAAUACAUGCAAGUAGAACGCAGUUGCGAACGGGUGAGUAACGCGUAGGUAACUGCCUCAUAGCGGGGGAUAACUAUUGGAAACGAUAGCUAAUACCGCAUACUGUGAGAUGGACCUGCGUUGUAUUAGCUAGUUGGUUAGGUAAAGGCUCACCAAGGCGACGAUACAUAGCCGACCUGGGAGGGUGAUCCGCACAACGGGGACGGAGAAAAGGCGCAGAAUCCUGCGGGAGGCAGCCGUAGGGAAUCUUUGGCAAUGGACGGAAGUAUGGACAAGGCAGGCCGCGUGAGUGAAGAAGGUUUUCGGAUCGUAAAGGUCUGUUGUUAGAGAAGCGGUAACUAACCAGAAAGGGAUGACUAACUCCGUGCCAGCAGCCGCGGUAAUAC